CCUUAUGAAAGGAAAGGAGAAAUUAUUUCCCACCAUUCCUUGCUGCAGCAACAUUUAAAGGGGACAUAUUAUGCUCCUUUUCAUCAAGUUUAAAUAAGUCUCAGAGGUCCCCAAAACAUUUCUUUGAAGCUUCUUGCUAUAAAAUCCACUCCGAUCCUAUAUUUCAGCAUGCCUGUAAACCCCUCUUUUUGAGCCCUGUUCAGAACAGGCUGUUUCUGUGUCUGUAGCUUUAAAUCCAAAUGAGCUGUGCCUGACCACGCCCCUCUCCGGAAGGGGAUGCGGCUUGGGCUUCUGGCACCAUGCUCUAAUGUUUACGGUGACCUUGACCGCCGACCUGGCGUUGGAAGCGCUUUGGUUCAACCACACGACUUUUAUCCAGAAUCUGAGCCAGAGGGAGAGGCUGCUGAAGAAGUUCAAACUCUACAACUGCAGCAGGACGUUUCUGAAUGGUGCUCCUGUGGAAACUGUGCAACCAUGCCCACAGAAGCUGAGAAUAUCUGCUGCUAGGAGAUACCACAGGUUACCAGAUGGCUAUGGGAGAUGGAGGAAGAUUUACCAUGUAUGGUAGACCGUCCUGGGUUGGAGCCGCUCUGCCUCAUUGUGUUCUGCCUGCAACAUGUACCGCACUGACUAUGGUCCUUUACGGUUGAGAGGAAUACACCAGUACGUUUUGCUUCUUUGUAAAAACAUAUAGUUUCAAUCUAAAUAAAAGAUGUUAGGCAGUCUUGUUUUACUUCAGUGCAAAUCAUUUUACAAUGGUAAUAACAGACCACAAAUGGAGUAACACACCCUCAAAUAAAUUAGUUUAGCUGCUCUUUGAUUUGUAAAGUUCUUCUAUCAGCAGAUAGUGUGCAUAUAAUAUAUGAAUUCAGAGGAGUCAUUUCUUUAGAAACAAAAGCCUUUGUUUAAAUUUUUCACUUUUUUUUUUUUUUUUUUUUACAAAACAAUGACUGAAAGUCUGUUUCUAACUACCUCCUGACAUUUUCUUUACUGUAUUUUUUUGUUGAUGGAACUGUCAUAACAUUAUACGUGCAAUACUUAAUACAAUGUGUACAAAACAUUUUUUGGUUGAAAAAUAAAAUAAUAUAACACACCUUUGGAAAUUGGA
Molecule: long non-coding RNA, 1108 nt
Organism: Seriola aureovittata
Lineage: Eukaryota; Metazoa; Chordata; Actinopteri; Carangiformes; Carangidae
Exons: 3
Source: RefSeq, a predicted model, not a curated record